RNAcentral lists this ribosomal RNA (154 nucleotides) under Pilobolus crystallinus. Its description in RNAcentral is "5.8S ribosomal RNA". It matches the Rfam family "5.8S ribosomal RNA". Rfam says of the family: 5.8S ribosomal RNA (5.8S rRNA) is a component of the large subunit of the eukaryotic ribosome. Lineage: Eukaryota; Fungi; Mucoromycota; Mucoromycetes; Mucorales; Pilobolaceae. RNAcentral also lists the same sequence under 1 other name. The record is from RNAcentral.
AACUUUUAACAACGGAUCUCUAGGCUCUCGCAUCGAUGAAGAACGUAGCAAAUUGCGAUAACUAUUGUGAAUUGCAUUUCGUGAAUCAUCAAGUUUUUGAACGCAUCUUGCACUCUGUGGUAUUCCGCAGAGUACACUUGUUUCAGUAUCAUAU